This 837-nucleotide ribosomal RNA is filed under the name Pedobacter sp. AKB-2008-TE20B. RNAcentral's name for it is "bacterial SSU rRNA". It matches the Rfam family "Bacterial small subunit ribosomal RNA", at positions 18 to 855 of the family's 1533-position model. Lineage: Bacteria; Pseudomonadati; Bacteroidota; Sphingobacteriia; Sphingobacteriales; Sphingobacteriaceae. The record is from RNAcentral.
CCUGGCUCAGGAUGAACGCUAGCGGCAGGCCUAAUACAUGCAAGUCGAACGGGAUUGGAGAGCUUGCUUUCCAUGAGAGUGGCGUACGGGUGCGUAACGCGUAUGCAACCUACCUUCAUCAGGGGGAUAGCCCGAAGAAAUUCGGAUUAACACCGCAUAAAAACACAACCUGGCAUCAGGAAAUGUUCAAAUAUUUAUAGGAUGAAGAUGGGCAUGCGUGUCAUUAGCUAGUUGGUGAGGUAACGGCUCACCAAGGCGACGAUGACUAGGGGAUCUGAGAGGAUGACCCCCCACACUGGUACUGAGACACGGACCAGACUCCUACGGGAGGCAGCAGUAAGGAAUAUUGGUCAAUGGAGGCAACUCUGAACCAGCCAUGCCGCGUGCAGGAAGACAGCCCUAUGGGUCGUAAACUGCUUUUAUACGGGAAUAAACCUUGAUUCGUGAAUCAAGCUGAAUGUACCGUAAGAAUAAGGAUCGGCUAACUCCGUGCCAGCAGCCGCGGUAAUACGGAGGAUCCAAGCGUUAUCCGGAUUUAUUGGGUUUAAAGGGAGCGUAGGCGGCCUAUUAAGUCAGGGGUGAAAGACGGUGGCUCAACCAUCGCAGUGCCUUUGAUACUGAUGGGCUUGAAUGUAGUUGAGGUAGGCGGAAUGUGACAAGUAGCGGUGAAAUGCAUAGAUAUGUCACAGAACACCGAUUGCGAAGGCAGCUUACUAAGCUAUGAUUGACGCUGAGGCUCGAAAGCGUGGGGAUCAAACAGGAUUAGAUACCCUGGUAGUCCACGCCCUAAACGAUGAUAACUCGAUGUUGGCGAUAUACAGUCAGCGUCCAAGCGAA